Molecule: ribosomal RNA, 497 nt
Filed under: uncultured bacterium
Lineage: Bacteria
Description: partial 16S ribosomal RNA
Rfam family: Bacterial small subunit ribosomal RNA
Source: RNAcentral
GAUGAACGCUGGCGGCGUGCCUAAUACAUGCAAGCCGAGCGAACGGACGAGAAGCUUGCUUCUCUGAUGUUAGCGGCGGACGGGUGAGUAACACGUGGAUAACCUACCUAUAAGACUGGGAUAACUUCGGGAAACCGGAGCUAAUACCGGAUAAUAUUUUGAACCGCAUGGUUCAAAAGUGAAAGACGGUCUUGCUGUCACUUAUAGAUGGAUCCGCGCUGCAUUAGCUAGUUGGUAAGGUAACGGCUUACCAAGGCAACGAUGCAUAGCCGACCUGAGAGGGUGAUAGGCGACACUGGAACUGGACCAGGGUCAAGAGGCCUACGAGAGGCAGCAGUAGGGUAUCUGCGGCAAUGGGCGAGAGCCUGACGGAGCGACGCCGCGUGAGUGAUGAAGGUCUUCGGAUCGUAAUACUCUGUUAUUAGUGAAGAACAUAUGUGUAAGUAACUGUGCACAUCUUGACGGUAACUAGUCAGAAAGCAACGGCUAACUACGUG